Molecule: transfer RNA, 76 nt
Filed under: Caudoviricetes sp.
Lineage: Duplodnaviria; Heunggongvirae; Uroviricota; Caudoviricetes
Description: tRNA-Gln
Rfam family: tRNA
About the family: Transfer RNA (tRNA) molecules are approximately 80 nucleotides in length. Their secondary structure includes four short double-helical elements and three loops (D, anti-codon, and T loops). Further hydrogen bonds mediate the characteristic L-shaped molecular structure. tRNAs have two regions of fundamental functional importance: the anti-codon, which is responsible for specific mRNA codon recognition, and the 3' end, to which the tRNAs corresponding amino acid is attached (by aminoacyl-tRNA synthetases). tRNAs cope with the degeneracy of the genetic code in two manners: having more than one tRNA (with a specific anti-codon) for a particular amino acid; and 'wobble' base-pairing, i.e. permitting non-standard base-pairing at the 3rd anti-codon position.
Source: RNAcentral
AGCCGAUUAGUUCAGUUGGUAGAACAACGGAUUUUGAUUCCGUAUGUCAGGUGUUCGAAUCACCUAUCGGCCGCCA